Molecule: non-coding RNA, 21 nt
Filed under: Caenorhabditis elegans
Lineage: Eukaryota; Metazoa; Nematoda; Chromadorea; Rhabditida; Rhabditidae
Source: RNAcentral
UUCUCGCAGGUCUUUGAAAAU